UACGGAGGGAGCUAGCGUUGUUCGGAAUUACUGGGCGUAAAGCGCACGUAGGCGGCUUUUUAAGUCAGGGGUGAAAUCCCGGGGCUCAACCCCGGAACUGCCCUUGAAACUGGAGAGCUAGAAUCUUGGAGAGGCGAGUGGAAUUCCGAGUGUAGAGGUGAAAUUCGUAGAUAUUCGAAAGAACACCAGUGGCGAAGGCGACUCGCUGGACAAGUAUUGACGCUGAGGUGCGAAAGCGUGGGGAGCAAACAGG
Molecule: ribosomal RNA, 253 nt
Filed under: uncultured bacterium
Lineage: Bacteria
Description: partial 16S ribosomal RNA
Rfam family: Bacterial small subunit ribosomal RNA
Source: RNAcentral